GAUUUAUAGUUGCAUACAGUAAAUAAACUAAACUAACCUAUACAUUCUACUAUCGUAACUAGCAACUACUUACACGCAACAGUGGCAUAUUCCCACCUGAAAAAUAAAUACUAGAUGUGCCACUACUUCAAAAAAAUGAUAGGAUUAAAAAUAUAAACCGUUUUUUUAAUGAAAUUAUUAUAUACAAUUUUAAUUGUUCAAGUUCGGUGCUUUUAUCCUUUGUGUAUGCCAGAAAAAUUUUAUUUUCUAUCUAAAGAUCACCUAAAACCUAACUUAUACAGUUAAGUAUAUUUGUAGUGGUCAUCUAUACUAGAAACGCUACAUCUUUGUGGCCAAUUAUCUGAAAUAUGAACAACUUUAUAGUGGUUUUAAUAGACCUGUAUAGAGAAAAAUACAUUUAUCAGCUAUAAAUGAUUAAUUAAAAUUUGUAUUAAUUUAUGAGAGCACUGGUAAAUAUUGUUUUCUCUCAGUGCACCUUAGAUAACAUCUUAGACAGCUAAAGAUAUAUUGCUCCAGAUCUCUGUAUUGUUCUUAUGAAUCUCAGAGAUCUGAAAACUUAAACAAUUCACUAAAAUUAAAAUUCAUAUUUAAGCACGAGU
This is a non-coding RNA of Cinara cedri, 599 nucleotides long. Lineage: Eukaryota; Metazoa; Arthropoda; Insecta; Hemiptera; Aphididae. The record is from the annotation of a GenBank genome assembly.